UUUGGGAAUGCAGCUCAAAACGGGUGGUAAAUUCCAUCUAAAGCUAAAUAUUGGCGAAAGACCGAUAGCGAACAAGUACCGUGAGGGAAAGAUGAAAAGCACUUUGGAAAGAGAGUUAAACAGUACGUGAAAUUGUUGAAAGGGAAACGCUUGAAGUCAGUCGCGUCUUCCGGGACUCAGCCUCGCCUUUGUGGCCACGGUGUAUUUCCCGGGGUGACGGGCCAGCAUCGAUUUCGAUCGUUGGAGAAAGGCGAUGGGGAACGUGGCACCUUCGGGUGUGUUAUAGCCCCAGGUCGUAUACAACGGUUGGGAUCGAGGAUUGCAGCACGCCUUUAAUGGCCGGGGUUACGCCCACGUAACGUGCUUAGGAUGCUGGCGUAAUGGCUUUAAGCGACCCGUCUUGAAACACGGACCAAGGAGUCUAACAUGCCUGCGAGUGUUUGGGUGGAAAACCCGGACGCGGAAUGAAAGUGAAAAGGUUGGGACCUCUGUCGUGGAGGGCACCGACGCCCGGACCAGACCUUCUGUGACGGUUCCGAGGUAGAGCAUGUAUGUUGGGACCCGAAAGAUGGUGAACUAUGCCUGAGUAGGGUGAAGCCAGAGGAAACUCUGGUGGAGGCUCGUAGCGAUUCUGACGUGCAAAUCGAUCGUCGAACUUGGGUAUAGGGGCGAAAG
Molecule: ribosomal RNA, 675 nt
Filed under: Ramaria testaceoflava var. brunnea
Lineage: Eukaryota; Fungi; Basidiomycota; Agaricomycetes; Gomphales; Gomphaceae
Description: eukaryotic LSU rRNA
Rfam family: Eukaryotic large subunit ribosomal RNA
Source: RNAcentral